This 561-nucleotide ribosomal RNA is filed under the name Kurtzmaniella quercitrusa. RNAcentral describes it as "partial 28S ribosomal RNA". It matches the Rfam family "Eukaryotic large subunit ribosomal RNA", at positions 74 to 656 of the family's 3401-position model. Lineage: Eukaryota; Fungi; Ascomycota; Pichiomycetes; Serinales; Debaryomycetaceae. The record is from RNAcentral.
AUUGCCUUAGUAACGGCGAGUGAAGCGGCAAAAGCUCAAAUUUGAAAUCUGGCACUUUCAGUGUCCGAGUUGUAAUUUGAAGAAGGUAACUUUGGAGUUGGCCCUUGUCUAUGUUCCUUGGAACAGGACGUCACAGAGGGUGAGAAUCCCGUGCGAUGAGGUGUCCAAUUCUAUGUAAAGUGCUUUCGAAGAGUCGAGUUGUUUGGGAAUGCAGCUCUAAGUGGGUGGUAAAUUCCAUCUAAAGCUAAAUAUUGGCGAGAGACCGAUAGCGAACAAGUACAGUGAUGGAAAGAUGAAAAGAACUUUGAAAAGAGAGUGAAAAAGUACGUGAAAUUGUUGAAAGGGAAGGGCUUGAGAUCAGACUCGGUAUUUUGCAAGCCUAUCCUUCGUGGAGAGGUUUAUUAGCAGCUUACCGGGCCAGCAUCGGUUUGGAUGGUAGGAUAAUGGCAUUGGAAUGUGGCUCCUCGGAGUGUUAUAGCCUUUGUUGAUACUGCCUAUCUAGACCGAGGACUGCGUCUUUGACUAGGAUGCUGGCGUAAUGAUCUUAAGCCGCCCGUCUUG